CCUACGGGGUGCAGCAGUGGGGAAUAUUGGACAAUGGGCGAAAGCCUGAUCCAGCCAUGCCGCGUGUGUGAAGAAGGCCUUCGGGUUGUAAAGCACUUUCAGUGGGGAAGAAAGCCUUGGGGCUAAUACCCUCGAGGAAGGACAUCACCCACAGAAGAAGCACCGGCUAACUCCGUGCCAGCAGCCGCGGUAAUACGGAGGGUGCGAGCGUUAAUCGGAUUUACUGGGCGUAAAGCGCGCGUAGGCGGUCUGAUAAGCCGGUUGUGAAAGCCCCGGGCUCAACCUGGGAACGGCAUCCGGAACUGUCAGGCUAGAGUGCAGGAGAGGAAGGUAGAAUUCCCGGUGUAGCGGUGAAAUGCGUAGAGAUCGGGAGGAAUACCAGUGGCGAAGGCGGCCUUCUGGACUGACACUGACGCUGAGGUGCGAAAGCGUGGGUAGCAAACAGGAUUAGAUACCCGGGUAGUC
RNAcentral lists this ribosomal RNA (465 nucleotides) under Vreelandella stevensii. Its description in RNAcentral is "partial 16S ribosomal RNA". It matches the Rfam family "Bacterial small subunit ribosomal RNA", at positions 338 to 795 of the family's 1533-position model. The record is from RNAcentral. Lineage: Bacteria; Pseudomonadati; Pseudomonadota; Gammaproteobacteria; Oceanospirillales; Halomonadaceae.